This 253-nucleotide ribosomal RNA is filed under the name uncultured bacterium. RNAcentral's name for it is "partial 16S ribosomal RNA". It matches the Rfam family "Bacterial small subunit ribosomal RNA", at positions 524 to 776 of the family's 1533-position model. The record is from RNAcentral.
UACGGAGGGAGCUAGCGUUGUUCGGAAUUACUGGGCGUAAAGCGCACGUAGGCGGCUACUCAAGUCAGGGGUGAAAGCCCAGGGCUCAACCCUGGAACUGCCUUUGAAACUAGGUAGCUAGAAUCUUGGAGAGGUCAGUGGAAUUCCGAGUGUAGAGGUGAAAUUCGUAGAUAUUCGGAAGAACACCAGUGGCGAAGGCGACUGACUGGACAAGUAUUGACGCUGAGGUGCGAAAGCGUGAGGAGCAAACAGG